Molecule: long non-coding RNA, 2134 nt
Organism: Macrobrachium nipponense
Lineage: Eukaryota; Metazoa; Arthropoda; Malacostraca; Decapoda; Palaemonidae
Exons: 3
Source: RefSeq, a predicted model, not a curated record
GUUCUGUUUCUUCCCUUCAGAAUGGCAACCAAUUUACCGGAAAGGAGGUUUCUACAAUUAUAAUUAAGGCGCAAGGUCUCUUGUUACCCAAAUAGGCCGCCUCUAUAGUUGAUUUGAAGACGUGGAUGUUUGAAAUAACUGCGGCAAUGGUGCCACUCAAUAUCAGAGCAAGGACUAUCAACAAACUUCUAAAGUACUGUCUGUCUCUACACUUAAGACUACUAUAGGAAGUUGUUUACGGCUGGGAAUGGUGUUGAAUACGAUUUUGAAAUUAAUUUGAGAUGGUAGUGAAAAUUCAGGAUCGAAAAAUCAAAUUAGUGGUGCCAGGAAAAUGUGGCGCCAGGUGCAGUAGCAACAAAACAGCAGCAACUACUCUACUCAAGGUGAUCAAGCGGCCUGAGCAACAUCACUGCAAGAAGAAAAAAAGUAUUCAUAAAAAAUUGAACUAACCGCAAAUCAGGCCAGCUUCAUAAAAAUUCAACUAACCGCAAAUCAGGCCAGCUUCAUAAAAACUGAACUAACCGCAAAUCAGGCCAGCUUAAGGGCCUUCAAAAGAGAUGGCAAACGGGCUCUCUGAAGAAAUAUACCAUCGAGAAUAUACCAUCAAGCAACGCUGCACAGCAGCUGCAGCAGCAGCAGCUAAAGGGAAUGUAGAUAACCAGCACUCCAGCAGCAAAAGAUCAUCAAGAAAUGGUACUCUUACCCUGCAGCAAAAGGACUGGCAGAAAACAUGGCACUUUUAACAGCAAUAAUAACAUGGCUUGCAAGAAAGAAAGCAACAACUGUUUCCAUAAAGCAGCAUCAUAACCAAGAAAUCAGGCAGCAUGAGCAACAUCACUGCAAGAAGAAAAAAGUAUUCAUCAAAAAAGUAUUCAUCAACUGUACUAACCUCAAGUCAGGCCAGCUUAAGGGCCUUCAAAAGGGCUCUCAGAAAAAAUAUACAGUCAAGCAACACUGCACAAUAAUUUAAAAGGACAAGCAGAUAUCCAGCACUCCAGUAGCAAAAUAUCUUUAAGAAAUUGCACUCUACCCUGCAGCAAAAGGACUGGCAGAAAACAUGGCACUUUCAGCAGCAAUAAUAAGAAGGCUGGCAAGAAAGAAAGCAACAACUGUGUUUCCACAAAGCAGCAUCAUAACCAAGAAAUCAGGCGGCACGAGCAACAUAAUUGCAAGAAGGAAAAAACCAAUAAAUCCAUAAAUAAAGCAGUCUCCAGCAGCAACAUUACUGCAAGAAUGAAAAAACCAAUAAAUCCAUAAAUAAGGCAGUCUCCAGCAGCAACAUCACUGCAAGAAGGAAAAAACCAAGAAAUCCAUAAACAAGGCAGUUUCCCGGCAGCAACAGGUAAAGCCUUCGGAACAAACACUUUCAGCAGCGCAAGCCUUGCUGGGGAACGUGCAGCAAUGAAGGUAGUAGACGUUAUUCCAAGCAGGGCGUGCAAGAAAAUAGUUAACCUGCAGAAAACACUGUCCUGUCCUCCAAGUACAACACCAAGAUGCCUGCAAAGAAACAAACUUACAGUGGCCAUACAUUAUGAAAAACAUCAAAAGAACCUUUAGAGAAAAUGGCUUAAACAGCAAACCCAGCAGAGUACAGAGCGUUGUAAAGGGAAAAACCUACUCGCAGCGAAAGAACUGCUGCCAUAUAAAAAGGGUUUUCUACAAAACUAAACUCUUCCAGUAAUAGAGAAUCGACCUUUUCAUUUAUCAACAGCCAAUAGGAAAGAUAAUUAUUGCUCUCCAUAGUAAAGUGCCUUGCUAAACAGAAGACACUCCUUGCAGCUGUAUCAAAGGAUCUUUGUUUUAAUGACAGGAACAACUGAAAACAUGGUUGUUUCAACAAGUACGUAUUCACAGCAACACCAUCCAAAGCUUUAUGAAGAAAGGUGGCCAAUCCCACGAGCUAAAUUAAAAGGGCUGCAGAAGAAACAACACUGGAUAAUAACAUCCAAAGGAGCUUGCAAAAAGAAAAAAAAUUACAGACAGUGCCCCCAGUAGCAACUACAUUAUCAGUAGCAGUCCCCGCAGCAUAGAAACAGCAUUCUCUAGCCAUCAUUUGCAGUAAAAAACGGUAAAUGGGGCUUUGCUAAAAAAUCUUCUGUAGAGGAAAAUUAUGCACAACAAAAGAACUGGUAAC